This 67-nucleotide transfer RNA is filed under the name Rattus norvegicus (Norway rat). It matches the Rfam family "tRNA". From Rfam's summary of the family: Transfer RNA (tRNA) molecules are approximately 80 nucleotides in length. Their secondary structure includes four short double-helical elements and three loops (D, anti-codon, and T loops). Further hydrogen bonds mediate the characteristic L-shaped molecular structure. tRNAs have two regions of fundamental functional importance: the anti-codon, which is responsible for specific mRNA codon recognition, and the 3' end, to which the tRNAs corresponding amino acid is attached (by aminoacyl-tRNA synthetases). tRNAs cope with the degeneracy of the genetic code in two manners: having more than one tRNA (with a specific anti-codon) for a particular amino acid; and 'wobble' base-pairing, i.e. permitting non-standard base-pairing at the 3rd anti-codon position. Lineage: Eukaryota; Metazoa; Chordata; Mammalia; Rodentia; Muridae. The record is from Rfam by way of RNAcentral.
GGAUUUAGCUCAGUGGUAGAGCGCUUGCCUAGCAAGCGCAAGGCCCUGGGUUCGAUCCCCAGCUCCA